CCUCACUCCUCACUCUUUUCUUCCCCGCCUGGAUCCCCUUUCUCAUUAAGCUCGCCGGCCACGCCGCCGCUUGCCGUUGCAACGCCCGCCGCAGGGACCGGCGGGAUCCGCCAACCGUCGGUCCGGAUCGACAUCCACGCCUCUGACUCCGACAUGCACACCUGCUAGACAUCGCCGUGAACCACCUCGUUUCUCCGGAACCUCUUGAACCAAGGCUGCCUUUCUCGGUUCCAUCGGCCGCGGCGGUCAUCCUCCUCCCUGAGCAACUACAGGGACCGUGACGGGCUCUGCUUCUGGACAACGGACUCGAAGGCGCGGGUCCCUCCUAAUUCUUCCUCGACCGCUGACCGCCAUUGACGCCGUUCGUCCUCUCGCCUCCCUGAUCCGUCCGACCCGGCUGCCAUGAACAGCAAGGACAUUCAUGAGGGUUUGAAUUUUUCUGCUGCUGACGAUGAAUCCUACUUUGGAAUCCUUUCAAUAAAGUUUUCAAAGGAUGGCCGUGAACUUGUUGUUGGAAACAGCAAUGAGUCAAUAUGUAUUUAUGAUCUUUGAGCAAACAAAGUGACAGAGCGAAUUCAUGCUCAUGUGGUAUGAAAGUCAAAUGCACUCUUUCUUUUGUUGCUUCCAUAACCUGUCCUUACAAUGUACGCAACACUGUUUGGUGAUAGACAUAUCUUCUUAGGUCAUAUUGGGAUGUACUUCUAAAAUCAUUUCAAGUA
This is a long non-coding RNA of Triticum dicoccoides, 719 nucleotides long. RefSeq lists it as uncharacterized. Lineage: Eukaryota; Viridiplantae; Streptophyta; Magnoliopsida; Poales; Poaceae. The record is from RefSeq and is a predicted model, not a curated record. The transcript is spliced from 3 exons.